Molecule: non-coding RNA, 166 nt
Filed under: Erysipelothrix sp.
Lineage: Bacteria; Bacillati; Bacillota; Erysipelotrichia; Erysipelotrichales; Erysipelotrichaceae
Also listed under: 1 other name
Description: 6S RNA
Rfam family: 6S / SsrS RNA
About the family: E. coli 6S RNA was the first non coding RNA to be sequenced, but its function was unknown until recently. It consists of 184 nucleotides that fold into an extended hairpin structure with a large single-stranded internal bulge.
Source: RNAcentral
UAGUACCUAGAAGGUCUAAAUAUUUUUCCGACACUUUGAUAUAAGGGAAUCCGGACGUACCACUAACAGUGUGAAUACUGGUAUUUAUAUCAGAAUCCCAGAAAUUAGUGAACAGGAUACCCACCUGUAAGAAACAGGGACAAUAUAUCACCCUUCUGGGUCUUUU